GGGGGCGUAAAGGUUUCGACGGGGAUUUUAAGAUACGAUAAGCGGGUAGAGGCCGGGAAUCCUCUGAAAAAGUCCCACCUUAAAAUUAAACGCUAACGAUAAUCUCGUAGCUCAGGCAGCGUAAGCUGUGCCGCCGCUUUUAGCGGCCCGUUCUUCCAUUGAGUACCACGGCUUUGGACAGAGCGUCACUUAGUGGUAAAUGUGCACCGCCCGUUCGCUUUUGAAGCGGUCAUAAACAAAAAAGCUACCAAAUCUGCUUUCCCGUGCACCGGAAACAGAUGCGGGAAUUAAAAAAGGUGUACUGCACCCGGAGAAAGUUGUAUUAAGAGGUUUUCGGACGGGAGUUCGAUUCUCCCCGCCUCCACCA
This 367-nucleotide transfer-messenger RNA is filed under the name Eubacteriales. Its description in RNAcentral is "UMGS902 sp900546635 Standard tmRNA". It matches the Rfam family "transfer-messenger RNA". From Rfam's summary of the family: Bacterial tmRNA, also known as 10Sa RNA or SsrA, is named for its dual tRNA and mRNA-like properties. Lineage: Bacteria; Bacillati; Bacillota; Clostridia. RNAcentral also lists the same sequence under 1 other name. The record is from RNAcentral.